ACACAGAUGCCAGCCUGGUCCACAGCUGGUCCCAGAUCUGGCCACCCAGGAAAGAGGAGAAUUCUUGUUGCCUUUAGUUUUAUAGCAUCCUCCGACACUUCUCCCCUUUCAGAGUGGGGCAAGGCUGUGUCAGUGAGGUUAAUAGAAAGGACCCAACAGCAGCCCUGCGUGUCAGAAUGACUUCCCUGGCUGGCUGUGAGAAUUUCUGACAGCAACCUUAUGGGGUUUAUGGCUGAGUUGUUUCUAAUCUAAUUGAAGUGACAAGCUUGCGGGCUCUGUCCUGAAGGGCGGCUGUCUACAGAAACGACCUCUGUUGCCUGGGUCUUCGUAGAAGUUAUAAAUGUUGCAUGACAUUUAUCAGACAGUAGGAUGGCAUGCUCAUUUGAAGAUUUCUCUUCCCACCAAGACCAGGUAUGUUUUGGGACACAAAUUUACCAGAUGCCAAUGACCCAUUACUUAUGGAGAGCUGCUUCUCAGUGCUCAAUGGAUGGAUGGAAUAAGCCCCUGGGUUGUGGAGCAGGAGACAUCCAGGAGAGGAGGCAGUAUGUAGGCAGAAGGAAGAACAGCCCAGUUUGUUCAGUAUGUGAACCGUGGAGAAUUCUAAGCAAUGUGCUUGUGGUGGUUUGAGUAUGCCUGACCCAUGGCUGUUAGGAAUUACGGUUGUGCUGGAAGAAGUGUAUCACUGUGAGUGUGGGCUUUGAGGUGUCCUAGACUCAUGCUUUGCCCAGUGAAGACAAGAGCCUCCCUCUGGCUCUCUUUAGAUCGAGAUGUAGAACUCUCAGCUUCUCCAGCAUCAUGCCUUCUCUCUCACUGCCAUGUCCUGCCAUGGUGAUAAUGGACCACACCUCUGAAACUGUAAGCCAGACCCAAUUCAUUGUUUGCCUUUAUAAGAAUUACCUUGGUGACGUUGUCUCUUCACAGCGAUGGAACCCCAAACUCAGACAGUGCUCAUUUGUUUUCAUUGAGAGAUAAAUGGUUUGAA
This 982-nucleotide long non-coding RNA is filed under the name Mus spicilegus (steppe mouse). RNAcentral describes it as "lncRNA (ENSMSIG00000017306.1)". The record is from RNAcentral. Lineage: Eukaryota; Metazoa; Chordata; Mammalia; Rodentia; Muridae.